UGGGGAAUAUUGGACAAUGGGCGCAAGCCUGAUCCAGCAAUGCCGCGUGUGUGAAGAAGGCCUUCGGGUUGUAAAGCACUUUAAGCAGGGAAGAAAAACUCGGUCUAAUACAUCGAGUCUUGACGGUACCUGAAGAAUAAGCACCGGCUAACUCUGUGCCAGCAGCCGCGGUAAUACAGAGGGUGCUAGCGUUAAUCGGAUUUACUGGGCGUAAAGCGUGUGUAGGUGGUUGUUCAAGUCAGUUGUGAAAUCCCUGGGCUUAACCUGGGAACUGCUUCUGAGACUGAACGACUAGAGUACGGUAGAGGGUGGUGGAAUUUCCGGUGUAGCGGUGAAAUGCGUAGAUAUCGGAAGGAACAUCAAUGGCGAAGGCAGCCACCUGGGCCUGUACUGACACUGAGACACGAAAGCAGUGGGGGAUCAAACAGGAUUAGAUACCCUGGUAGUCCACGCCGUAAAACGAUGAGAACUUGACGUCGGUUUGCUCUGCAAGUCGGUGUCGUAGCUAACGCGAUAAGUUCUCCGCCU
This 528-nucleotide ribosomal RNA is filed under the name uncultured bacterium. RNAcentral's name for it is "partial 16S ribosomal RNA". It matches the Rfam family "Bacterial small subunit ribosomal RNA", at positions 355 to 874 of the family's 1533-position model. The record is from RNAcentral.